GACCCUAUAGAGUUUAAUAUUUUAUUAAUAAAUUAUUUUUUAGAAUUUAAUAUUAAUUUAUUAAUUGAAUAUUUGAUUGGGGUGAUUGAAAAAUUUAAGUAACUUUUUUUAUAUUUAAACAUUAAUUUAUGAUUGUUUGAUCCAUUGUUUAUGAUUAUAAGAUUAAAUUACCUUAGGGAUAACAGCGUAAUUUUUUUUAAGAGUUCAAAUCGAAAAAAAAGAUUGCGACCUCGAUGUUGGAUUAAAAUUUAUUUUUGGUGUAGAAGCUAAAUUUAUUGGGUCUGUUCGACCUUUAAAAUUUUACAUGAUCUGA
Molecule: ribosomal RNA, 313 nt
Filed under: Pharaxonotha sp. D0219
Lineage: Eukaryota; Metazoa; Arthropoda; Insecta; Coleoptera; Erotylidae
Also listed under: 1 other name
Description: partial 16S large subunit ribosomal RNA
Rfam family: Bacterial large subunit ribosomal RNA (bases 178-313)
Source: RNAcentral